This is a long non-coding RNA of Chrysemys picta bellii (western painted turtle), 1685 nucleotides long. Lineage: Eukaryota; Metazoa; Chordata; Testudines; Emydidae. The record is from Ensembl.
AUGCACAGGGAGUUAGGAAGGGUUUAUGGUUUUCCCUUUGAGCCUACAACAGCCCCACAGCCACCUCAAGCUGGAAACUCUCUUAUUUCACUGUCUGGAAAACUUGGCAGUUUUAUCCUCCACAUUCCAGUGGUGAUGCCUGCUGCUGUUCUUGGAUAUUAUACCACAUUACUGCAAGCCUCAGUAUUCCUAGUCAUUAUUUUGAGGACUUCUUAAGUCCUAUUUGACCAUCAUUAUGUCUGUUUACCUGUGGUACUCUGGUUCCUACAAGGGUUACUUCCCUCACCAUUUUCUAAUUUCAGCCCUACGGUAGUUUUGUGCUUUGAGGUUACUUGGAUGAUCAGCGAUGUCAGUGACAAAAAACAGAAAUCCAAAACUACAGAACGUGUAUACACAAUGGUAGUAGGGCUCAUUUUUUUUCAACCUUCAUUGUGAUCCCAUGAUCACUAUAUCCCAGGGUACUCAUCCAUAAAUUAAUUCCUCCUGUAGAAGAUGUGGGUCCUGCUUACUGUAAGCUAGUGCAACACUGCCUGCAAAAUUUCAUCCCACCUUGCACCUUUCACAAAGCUCACAAAUUUACAACUGCAUAUAACCCACUUUUUGAAUACAACAGUCACACAAUGGGACUUUCUGCACAUCUAAAUUGCCUGAAAAUCUGGCCCACGCUUAUUCUUAUUAAAACUAAGAAUAAGCCACAAACUCCAUUGUGUGACUUUUGUAGCCAAAAUGUUCUCCUCAUUGGUAGAUUAACUUGAGUAAGGCCCUAUUGCUGUAUGCUGUACUCACAUUAAUGGUGGGAUUCCCUCCGAGAUCUUUUCCACUUAGCUUAUCCAUAACACCUUGUCCAGUUCUGGGAAAACACUUCAUCCAGUUCUCUGGGAUCCAAAAUAAUUCAGUGUGACUCCAGAUUUUGUCACCCAGGUGCUUUAUUUGACAUACAGCAAAAUUACACUGAGCUGAUCAGGCUUAAGUGUAGGGGCGUGGGCAUAUGUUGUACCACACAUCCAAAGUUACACAGAAAAACUCUUCCCUUAUAUACAUUUACACAUUGCAUUACAUUUACUAUACGUUGCAUCACACAUUUUAGAACUGGCAGCAUGUUAUGUCCGGGCAUAUGCUUGACCUAUUCUUGACCGACUUUUUACCUCAUCUCAUAUUCCUAAUUUAUCUUGUCCAAUGUUAGUAAAUGGUUCUCUGGGUGUUCUCCCUCUUAAUGUAGCUGGCUCAGACAUUCUGUCUUUUUAGCCUACUGACCUCUUCACUUACCUUCUUUCAUAGAAUCAUAGAAUCAUAGAAUAUCACGGUUGGAAGGGACCUCAGGAGGUCAUCUAGUCCAACCCCCUGCUCAAAGCAGGACCAAUCCCCAACUAAAUCAUCUCAGCUAGGGCUUUGUCAAGCCGGGCCUUAAAAAGCUCUAAGGAAGGAGAUUCCAGCACCUCCCUAGGUAACCCAUUCCAGUGCUUCACCACCCUCCUAGUGAAAAAGCUUUUCCUAAUAUCCAACCUAAACCUCCCCCACUGCAACUUGAGACCAUUACUCCUUGUUCUGUCAUCUGCUACCACUGAGAACAGCCUAGAUCCAUCCUCUUUGGAAUCCCUUUCAGGUAGUUGAAAGCAGCUAUCAAAUCCCCCCUCAUUCUUCUCUUCUGCAGCCUAAAUAAACCCAUUUCCCUCAGCCUCUCCUCA